GGGGAGGCUUAAUGGCAGUCGAGCGGAAGCAAUACACGGAAUUUUUCGGAAGGAAGUGUGUUUGCUUUAGCGGCGGACGGGUGAGUAACGCGUGGAUAACCUGCCUCAUACAGGGGGAUAACAGUUAGAAAUGACUGCUAAUACCGCAUAAGCACACGGGAGCGCAUGCUCCUGAGUGAAAAGCUCCGGCGGUAUGAGAUGGAUCCGCGUCUGAUUAGCUGGUUGGCGGGGUAACGGCCCACCAAGGCGACGAUCAGUAGCCGACCUGAGAGGGUGGCCGGCCACAUUGGGACUGAGACACGGCCCAAACUCCUACGGGAGGCAGCAGUGGGGAAUAUUGCACAAUGGGGGAAACCCUGAUGCAGCAACGCCGCGUGGGUGAAGAAGUAUCUCGGUAUGUAAAGCCCUAUCAGCAGGGAAGAGAAUGACGGUACCUGACUAAGAAGCCCCGGCUAACUACGUGCCAGCAGCCGCGGUAAUACGUAGGGGGCAAGCGUUAUCCGGAUUUACUGGGUGUAAAGGGAGCGUAGACGGUUGUGCAAGUCUGAAGUGAAAGCCCGCGGCUCAACUGCGGAACGGCUUUGGAAACUGUGUAACUGGAGUGCUGGAGAGGUAAGCGGAAUUCCUGGUGUAGCGGUGAAAUGCGUAGAGAUCAGGAGGAACACCGGCGGCGAAGGCGGCUUACUGGACAGUAACUGACGUUGAGGCUCGAAAGCGUGGGGAGCAAACAGGAUUAGAUACCCUGGUAGUCCACGCGGUAAACGAUGAAUGCUANGUGUUGGUGGNCAGAGCCCAUCGGU
Molecule: ribosomal RNA, 800 nt
Filed under: uncultured bacterium
Lineage: Bacteria
Description: bacterial SSU rRNA
Rfam family: Bacterial small subunit ribosomal RNA
Source: RNAcentral